Molecule: unclassified non-coding RNA, 219 nt
Filed under: Hevea brasiliensis (rubber tree)
Lineage: Eukaryota; Viridiplantae; Streptophyta; Magnoliopsida; Malpighiales; Euphorbiaceae
Source: RNAcentral
AAAGACCCCUGAUGAGUAUCCCUUCAACUUAUUUCAUCAUCUUGAUGCCUCUGACUUUGCUCCAGAAGAGAAGCGUAGCCCUCUCCCUUCGCCCUUAUCUGUAAGGGUGUCGAAUUAUUCAUCGGAAGAUGAGAACGAUAGUGGAAUAAAUGGAGGUGUCGAUGAUGAAGCUGAGGAAUUCAUUCGAAGGUUUUAUGAGCAGCUAAGGUUACAAAGUCG